AUUGAACGCUGGCGGCAUGCCUUACACAUGCAAGUCGAACGGCAGCACGGGUGCUUGCACCUGGUGGCGAGUGGCGAACGGGUGAGUAAUAUAUCGGAACGUACCUUAUUGUGGGGGAUAACGCAGCGAAAGCUGUGCUAAUACCGCAUAAUCCCUAAGGGGGAAAGCGGGGGACCGUAAGGCCUCGCGCAAUUAGAGCGGCCGAUACCUGAUUAGCUAGUUGGUGAGGUAAAGGCUCACUAAGGCAACGAUCAGUAGCUGGUCUGAGAGGACGAUCCGCCACACUAGGACUGAGACACGGCCCAGACUCCUACGGGAGGCAGCAGUGGGGAAUUUUGGACAAUGGGGGCAACCCUGAUCCAGCAAUGCCGCGUGAGUGAAGAAGGCCUUCGGGUUGUAAAGCUCUUCUGUCAGGGAAGAAACAGCAGCUCUAACACAGUUUGCGAAUGACGGUACCUGAAGAAUAAGCACCGGCUAACUACGUGCCAGCCGCCGCCGUAA
Molecule: ribosomal RNA, 501 nt
Filed under: uncultured bacterium
Lineage: Bacteria
Description: partial 16S ribosomal RNA
Rfam family: Bacterial small subunit ribosomal RNA
Source: RNAcentral